Molecule: ribosomal RNA, 455 nt
Filed under: uncultured Oomycota
Lineage: Eukaryota; Oomycota
Description: LSU rRNA
Rfam family: Eukaryotic large subunit ribosomal RNA
Source: RNAcentral
GUGCGAGACCGAUAGCGAACAAGUACCGUGAGGGAAAGAUGAAAAGAACUUUGAAAAGAGAGUUAAAGAGUACCUGAAACUGCUGAAAGGGAACCGAAUCGUUUCCAGUGUCUAUAAUCCAUGGUAUAUUUCAUUGGUGCGUAAGUGCGUGCAGCGUUUUGGAAGUAGUUUUCUGCUCCUGUCGUUGUUGUGCAUUUGCUUGCUGGUGCCCUGUGCUGUGGUGGGACGUCAGAGUCAGUUUGUAUGUUGCGGGAAAUGGUUAUUGGGGAGGUAGGUCACUUCGGUGGCUGUUAUAUCCUGAUAACUAGUCGUCGUGGCUGAGACUGAGGUGCCUACAAUGUGCUUUCGAGUCUGCGGGCUUCUCGUGUUGCUGUUUGCUUGGAUAGCUUGCUAUGUUUGUGAAUAAGUCGUGCGAUUGAGACCUGUAGUAACUUGUUGCUGUUCGGGACUUUGAA